This 633-nucleotide ribosomal RNA is filed under the name Basidiomycota sp. TP-Snow-Y72. RNAcentral's name for it is "eukaryotic LSU rRNA". It matches the Rfam family "Eukaryotic large subunit ribosomal RNA", at positions 38 to 667 of the family's 3401-position model. The record is from RNAcentral. Lineage: Eukaryota; Fungi; Basidiomycota.
GCAUAUCAAUAAGCGGAGGAAAAGAAACUAACAAGGAUUCCCCUAGUAACGGCGAGUGAAGCGGGAAGAGCUCAAAUUUGUAAUCUGGCACCUUCGGUGUCCGAGUUGUAAUCUCGAGAAGUGUUUUCCGCGUCGGACUGCAUACAAGUCUAUUGGAAUAUAGCGUCAUAGUGGUGAGAGCCCCGUAACUGAUGCAGAUGCCCGAUGCUUUGUGAUACACUUUCGAAGAGUCGAGUUGUUUGGGAAUGCAGCUCAAAUUGGGUGGUAAAUUCCAUCUAAAGCUAAAUAUUGGCGAGAGACCGAUAGCGAACAAGUACCGUGAGGGAAAGAUGAAAAGCACUUUGGAAAGAGAGUUAACAGUACGUGAAAUUGUUGGAAGGGAAACGCUUGAAGUCAGACUUGCUAUUUGGAAUUCAGCCGCAAGGUGUACUUUUCAAUUUGCAGGCCAGCAUCAGUUUUUGGGGGUGGAAAAGGGUUGAGAAAAGGUAGCAGUUUCGGCUGUGUUAUAGUUCUUGGCUGGAUUCAUCUUUGGGGACUGAGGAACGCAGUGUGCCGCAAGGCAAUUCUUUCGAGGAUUUCACACUUAGGAUGCUGGUGGAAUGGCUUUAAACGACCCGUCUUGAAACACGGACC